GCCCAUCCAAACAAGUGCGAUUUGCGGGAAAAUUAGACGAUCUCAAGCGACAACAUCAGUCCAGAGAUCCGGCUCAUGAGCGCGGAAGCUUGUCGCGUGCACACCUGCUGUGGCGCUCCAUCUCUAGAGGAGAGAAGCACGAGAGCCCCGCGUGCUCAACCUGACCUCAGCUCGAUUGGACUGUGAUGUCUGUAUUAACAUCUGUGAGAGACAGCAGUCAGUCCUCAUGAACCCAGCCUGUCUGCUUUGAUUUUCCCCUGUUCAGUCCUACUCGGGCACGUUCACGGACGCCUGCUCCACGUAGAAGAGGAAGGACGAGCAGGCACUCUGCAGAAUCCUCUCAUUAAGAUGACAGGCCCAACCAUGGCAACAAUUAACUCCAUUCAGCCACAAUUCAUCCCUCUUUUCAGGGUGCACAGAAAAGAUGAGAGGAGACGUGCUGGUCAGACUUAGCUGAGUGUUAGCCGCGCUCUGUGCAGGAUAAUCUGAGGUACUGACGAAAUGAAUGACGCUGAUGGAGGUCUGUCCGCAGCAUAUCCAACAGGAUAUCCCAUUCUAGGGAUGGACUGGCCAUAGGGAGCACCAGGACUUCCUGCUGGGCUGGUCAACAUAUGGAGUGCUGUCAAAAAAAAAAAAAAAAAAAGUACAAAGUAAUUAUACAAAGAUUUUAAAGCAGGAAAAAAAGCCCCAUCAGUACAAGUUGCCCCAGAUACCUGGUUAUUUAAAGGUAUAACACGCUUAACAUUCUAGAUAUUACUAAACAUUAUCUUCAAGUAACAGCAUAGAAACAAGGAGUUUGAUACCAAAAAGAUGUUUCUUUGCCUGUGUGAAUUUUUAUACCUAUUGUUUUUGGCUGUUGUUUACUGUUUUAAGAGCGAAGAAAAUGUUGCCUGAAAUUAUGGAUACCUUUGUUUUUUGUUAUGGACUCCUCUGAUAAUGAGUUUGAACACCUCAAUGCAUUUCACAAUUAGUUGAAUUGUUUUCCCUGUCAUUUCCAAUUAUUCUUACCAUUAAAAUGUCCAUGACAAACCACCGGAAUAGAACUUCCAACAUUCCGAUGAAAUCUUCAGUACAUCACCAUAAUCAAGCAUGUCAAACACAAACAGUGUUUACACUACCA
Molecule: long non-coding RNA, 1120 nt
Organism: Sinocyclocheilus rhinocerous
Lineage: Eukaryota; Metazoa; Chordata; Actinopteri; Cypriniformes; Cyprinidae
Exons: 3
Source: RefSeq, a predicted model, not a curated record